Molecule: ribosomal RNA, 1251 nt
Filed under: Escherichia coli
Lineage: Bacteria; Pseudomonadati; Pseudomonadota; Gammaproteobacteria; Enterobacterales; Enterobacteriaceae
Description: partial 23S ribosomal RNA
Rfam family: Bacterial large subunit ribosomal RNA
Source: RNAcentral
AUGACGAGGCACUGCGGUGCUGAAGCAACAAAUGCCCUGCUUCCAGGAAAAGCCUCUAAGCAUCAGGUAACAUCAAAUCGUACCCCAAACCGACACAGGUGGUCAGGUAGAGAAUACCAAGGCGCUUGAGAGAACUCGGGUGAAGGAACUAGGCAAAAUGGUGCCGUAACUUCGGGAGAAGGCACGCUGAUAUGUAGGUGAAGUCCCUCGCGGAUGGAGCUGAAAUCAGUCGAAGAUACCAGCUGGCUGCAACUGUUUAUUAAAAACACAGCACUGUGCAAACACGAAAGUGGACGUAUACGGUGUGACGCCUGCCCGGUGCCGGAAGGUUAAUUGAUGGGGUCAGCGCAAGCGAAGCUCUUGAUCGAAGCCCCGGUAAACGGCGGCCGUAACUAUAACGGUCCUAAGGUAGCGAAAUUCCUUGUCGGGUAAGUUCCGACCUGCACGAAUGGCGUAAUGAUGGCCAGGCUGUCUCCACCCGAGACUCAGUGAAAUUGAACUCGCUGUGAAGAUGCAGUGUACCCGCGGCAAGACGGAAAGACCCCGUGAACCUUUACUAUAGCUUGACACUGAACAUUGAGCCUUGAUGUGUAGGAUAGGUGGGAGGCUUUGAAGUGUGGACGCCAGUCUGCAUGGAGCCGACCUUGAAAUACCACCCUUUAAUGUUUGAUGUUCUAACGUUGACCCGUAAUCCGGGUUGCGGACAGUGUCUGGUGGGUAGUUUGACUGGGGCGGUCUCCUCCUAAAGAGUAACGGAGGAGCACGAAGGUUGGCUAAUCCUGGUCGGACAUCAGGAGGUUAGUGCAAUGGCAUAAGCCAGCUUGACUGCGAGCGUGACGGCGCGAGCAGGUGCGAAAGCAGGUCAUAGUGAUCCGGUGGUUCUGAAUGGAAGGGCCAUCGCUCAACGGAUAAAAGGUACUCCGGGGAUAACAGGCUGAUACCGCCCAAGAGUUCAUAUCGACGGCGGUGUUUGGCACCUCGAUGUCGGCUCAUCACAUCCUGGGGCUGAAGUAGGUCCCAAGGGUAUGGCUGUUCGCCAUUUAAAGUGGUACGCGAGCUGGGUUUAGAACGUCGUGAGACAGUUCGGUCCCUAUCUGCCGUGGGCGCUGGAGAACUGAGGGGGGCUGCUCCUAGUACGAGAGGACCGGAGUGGACGCAUCACUGGUGUUCGGGUUGUCAUGCCAAUGGCACUGCCCGGUAGCUAAAUGCGGAAGAGAUAAGUGCUGAAAGCAUCUAAGCACGAAACUUGCC